RNAcentral lists this ribosomal RNA (484 nucleotides) under uncultured bacterium. RNAcentral's name for it is "bacterial SSU rRNA". It matches the Rfam family "Bacterial small subunit ribosomal RNA", at positions 501 to 989 of the family's 1533-position model. The record is from RNAcentral.
CUACGUGCCAGCAGCCGCGGUAAUACGUAGGUGGCAAGCGUUGUCCGGAAUUAUUGGGCGUAAAGCGCGCGCAGGCGGAUCAGAUAGUCUGUCUUAAAAGUUCGGGGCUUAACCCCGUGAUGGGAUGGAAACUGCUGAUCUAGAGUAUCGGAGAGGAAAGUGGAAUUCCUAGUGUAGCGGUGAAAUGCGUAGAUAUUAGGAAGAACUCCGAUUGCGAAGGCAGCUGACGGGAGCGCAACUGACGCUUAAGCUCGAAGGUGCGGGUAUCGAACAGGAUUAGAUACCCUGGUAGUCCGCACAGUAAACGAUGGAUGCCCGCUGUUGGUACCUGGUAUCAGCGGCUAAGCGAAAGCAUUAAGCAUCCCACCUGGGGAGUACGCCGGCAACGGUGAAACUCAAAGGAAUUGACGGGGACCCGCACAAGCAGUGGAGCAUGUGGUUUAAUUCGAAGCAACGCGAAGAACCUUACCAAAUCUUGACAUCC